UACGUAGGGGGCAAGCGUUGUCCGGAUUUAUUGGGCGUAAAGCGCGUGUAGGCGGUUGCCCAAGUCGGGUGUGAAAGCCUUGAGCUCAACUCAAGAAAUGCACUCGGUACUGGGUGACUAGAGGACCGGAGAGGAUAGUGGAAUUCCCAGUGUAGUGGUGAAAUACGUAGAGAUUGGGAAGAACACCAGUGGCGAAGGCGGCUAUCUGGACGGUUUCUGACGCUAAGACGCGAAAGCGUGGGGAGCAAACAGG
Molecule: ribosomal RNA, 253 nt
Filed under: uncultured bacterium
Lineage: Bacteria
Description: partial 16S ribosomal RNA
Rfam family: Bacterial small subunit ribosomal RNA
Source: RNAcentral